CUGUCAGCAGAGAAGGCGUCCCGAAAGGGUCGCUGGAGCGUCAGGAAGUGAAUAUGCCGGGUUGAGUAACGAUAAAGCAGGUGAAAAUCCUGCUCGCCGAAAAUCUAAGGUUUCCUGGGGAAGGUAAAUCCGCCCAGGGUCAGCCGGGACCUAAGGUGAGGCCGAAAGGCGUAGCCGAUGGACGGCAGGUUAAUAUUCCUGCGCUACUGUGGAGAUCAAUCAUGAGUGCGGAUCGGUCAGCCCUGCGUAAGCACCAGCUUGCUGAGGCCCUUGAGGCCGCUGCAGGGGGCUCUGGUCCCGAGAAAAGCUCAUGUGGCAAAGCAGUACCCGUACCAAAACCGACACAGGUAGAUGAGGUGAAUAACCUAAGGCGCUCGAGAUAACGGAAGUGAAGGAAUUAGGCAAAUUGACCCCGUAAGUUCGCGAUAAGGGG
Molecule: ribosomal RNA, 433 nt
Filed under: Azadinium spinosum
Lineage: Eukaryota; Dinophyceae; Gonyaulacales; Amphidomataceae
Description: partial Bacterial large subunit ribosomal RNA
Rfam family: Bacterial large subunit ribosomal RNA
Source: RNAcentral